GAUGAACGCUGGCGGCGUGCCUAAUACAUGCAAGUCGAGCGAACAGACGAGGAGCUUGCUCCUCUGACGUUAGCGGCGGACGGGUGAGUAACACGUGGAUAACCUACCUAUAAUACUGGGAUAACUUCGGGAAACCGGAGCUAAUACCGGAUAAUAUAUUGAACCGCAUGGUUCAAUAGUGAAAGACGGUUUUGCUGUCACUUCUAGCUGGAUCCGCGCCGCAUUAGCUAGUUGGUAAGGUAACGGCUUACCAAGGCAACGAUGCGUAGCCGACCUGAGAGGGUGAUCGGCCACAUGGGAACUGAGACACGGACCAGACUCCUACGGGAGGCAGCAGUAGGGAAUCUUCCGCAAUGGGCGAAAGCUUGACGGAGCAACGCCGCGUGAGUGAUGAAGGUCUUCGGAUCGUAAAACUCUGUUAUUAGGGAAGAACAAAUGUGUAAGUAACUAUGCACGUCUUGACGGUACCUAAUCAGAAAGCCACGGCUAACUACGUG
This 497-nucleotide ribosomal RNA is filed under the name uncultured bacterium. Its description in RNAcentral is "partial 16S ribosomal RNA". It matches the Rfam family "Bacterial small subunit ribosomal RNA", at positions 28 to 507 of the family's 1533-position model. The record is from RNAcentral.